GACGAACGCUGGCGGCGUGCUUAACACAUGCGAGUCGAACGGCAAGGCCCUGCUUUUGUGGUGUGCUCGAGUGGCGAUCGGGUGCGUAACACGUGAGUAACCUGCCCUUGACUUUGGGAUAACUUCAGGUAACUGGGGCUAAUACCGGAUAGGAGCUCCUGCUGCAUGGUGGGGGUUGGAAAGUUUCGGCGGUUGGGGAUGGACUAGCGGCUUAUCGGCUUGUUGGUGGGGUAGUGGCUUACCCAGGCUUUGACGGGUCGCCGGCCUGUGUGGGUGACCGGCGACAUUGGGACUGAGAUACGGCCCAGACGCCUACGGGAGGCAGCAGUGGGGAAUAUUGCACAAUGGGCGGAGGCCUGAUGCAGCAACGCCGCGUGCGGGAUAACGGCCUUCGGGGUGUAAACCGCUUGCGCCUGUAACGAAGCGUGAGUGAAGGUAAUGGGUAAAGAAGCACCGGCUAACUACGUG
This 468-nucleotide ribosomal RNA is filed under the name uncultured bacterium. RNAcentral's name for it is "partial 16S ribosomal RNA". It matches the Rfam family "Bacterial small subunit ribosomal RNA", at positions 28 to 507 of the family's 1533-position model. The record is from RNAcentral.